UCUCCAUUAAAUUGUCAUUGCCCAACGACGUGGUGGAGUAUUGCCAUACACACGUCUGAGUGGAAAUACUUAUAGUCCCAGGCCCUCACACGACUGUGUAUUUGAUUGGCCUACUCAGCGCGUCGUUGGGAAAUGAUAAUUCAAUGGAAAGA
RNAcentral lists this microRNA precursor (152 nucleotides) under Sphaeroforma sirkka. RNAcentral's name for it is "Ssi-Mir-Nov-8_pre". The record is from RNAcentral. Lineage: Eukaryota; Ichthyosporea; Ichthyophonida.